UCCAAGCACAGCAGGCCUUGAUGA
RNAcentral lists this non-coding RNA (24 nucleotides) under Mus musculus (house mouse). Lineage: Eukaryota; Metazoa; Chordata; Mammalia; Rodentia; Muridae. The record is from RNAcentral.